CAGACCAAAGUUAAGUGCUUCUGCCUUGUUAACAUUGCAGUUAUCUGGACUGCAGCCUUUCCCACUGGGGGACCGCGCCGCCUUCUCAAAUCCAACUGCAUAAGCACAUGGCGGUUUAGUGGAGAAGGCCAACUCCAACGUGAGUGUGGGCCCUUUACAGACACAGCACGAGAGGCGAGCGGCUCCCGGAAAACCCCGAUCUGGGCCUGAUGUCCCCCACUUUUUUAUGCUUCUAUGGUCAUAACUGCCUAUGCACUCAAGAGUAUUAUAGGGUUAGGGAGCUGUGACAUCUAAUGCCAUGUUUUUAUCUCAGCAGCGAAAGCAGCCACUAUCAGUUACUAUUCCUCAAUGCUCCCUAAUUAAGAAAUGGGAAUAAUAAUCUAUUAUCUUUUUUCCAUUGGUUCUUUGAAAACCUGAAAUAAAAAGAACUCCAUCCCAAACUAACUGUAUACAAACAACAUUGUUGCAAACAUUUUAAAGGGACCUCGGAUUACUUGGGAGCACAUCCACCAACCUCUGCUGGGCACUUAACGAUAUAAGGAUAGGCACCCAUCAUCUGAGAGGUUAUGCUACACAGAGCGUCAGGCAAAUGGAAAAAAUUCUACAUGGGUCUUACAAAAAAAAAAUCACAGAAUUCCCAAAAAAGGAAAUGAGGCCUUGAAAUGAUAGGCUAUCCGCAGCUAGCCGUAUCCUGUUGGUUCCCAACACUGAUCUGAUUUUUUUUUUUAUUCUAUCAAACGACAGACAGGCAAACUGCUUUGAAGGGGAAAUCAGUGGUAGAGAGAUGGAGUAAGAGCUGAAAAGCCUAUAGCAACAUGAUAAUUGAUAGUCAUUUGUGCGCUUUAGAGUGAGCUCCCACGUGCCCUUAUUUUUUAGCGAUGCAGACAUGACGGAUCGCCAUUUUCGGAUCACCAGAGACGACAUCUUAAUGUUUGCUGUAAACGCUGCUUAUGAAAGGAGAUACGCUGUAGCCCCCCGCUCUCGCUGAGAGACAAGGAACAGACUGGCAUCCGUGACUCCUCAGCAGCCGAAGAGACUUAAAUAAGUGACUACCGCAUCCAGAUGACUGGCACAUCAGAGGGAAGCAGUAACUCAGGGAGGAUAAAGGAGAGAAAAGUAGGAGAGCGAUGUUGGUGCCAAGAAGGAACACUUUGAAGGCAAAAUCUCAGGCCCUGCGACUCCACAGAGGUGGAGCAGCGCUGGCUGAUGUCUCUAAACUGGAGAGUGAUGGAGAAGCCACUUCUAAACACUGCAGCGCUGUGACUCUAACAACCCUGGGCCUUCUACAGUUCCACCACUGGACAGUCAGCAGACAGCCCCCCAAAGGGACCUGGAACACUCCCCCAGCUUCCCAGACAGCGCUCUGCUCCUGGCAGACGGUAAGCCCGUGUUAUGUCAAUCACACCAUGCUUAUGUUUACAGUUGUGUAGCUGUUGGUGAGUGUGAUGACUGCCUGUCUUCCUCCCCGUCUGUUCCGUUAUUACCAUGUCCCCGGUGCCUACAGUAUAGCCACACUGCAGGCAUGGAUAAAUAUGGGUGGGUCUCAUUUGUACUAAAGAAAGCUUAGGGGCUGGAGAGAUGAUUCAGUGGUUAAGGACAGUUGCUGCUCUUGCAAAGAACCUGACUUUGGUUCCCAGCAGCACCUAUCUGGCAUCUUAAAACCACCUCUAUGUAAAUCCAGGUACAGGAGAGCCAAUGCCCUUUUCUGGCCUGUGAGGACACACAUAUGUAUGUGAGCACACGUAUGUGCACAUACCCAUGAAUGAAAUAUUGAAGUUACAAACACCUGCCCUUUGUACCGAAAGGUUCUGCCAUUUCUCAAAUCUUCCCAUGGAGUUGUUUUCCCAUCCAUUCACCAUGAUCCAAAGAAACAUCCAAGAAAUGAACGCUCAAAAACAAAACACAAAAUACUCUCACUGAAAAUGAGAGGCAGGUGGCACAACAGGCCAUCCACGGUUUCCCCUCCACCUUGCCUUUCUGUGACAGACAAACCAGUAUGGUCCUGGAGUUGUGUGUUUUCCUGUAUGUGUCUAGUUACUGCAAUAAAGGCUCUCACACCUUCCUGUCUGGCUCCCACACUUAGUUCUUUGUCUCCUGGAGAACCACGGCUACUCCUUUCAAGUUCUCUUUCAAAGUUAAAUAACCAUGAAGAGAAAAACAUCACUUGUGGGGAAUUUGCUCCUUUUUACUUUGCCUCUCAUUAUCCUAAUUCAGCUCUUAUUUUAUAUCACUACUACCCACCCACUAAUGACAGGGUAGGAGCAAGACUGUCUCUUCCACCUACAACACAACACAUGCAACACAAGCUGUAACCCCUUCCCAGUGUCUGGCACUCUGCAUGUGUCUGUCCCUGGGCUGCCCACUUCUAAGUGGAUGCGUUAUGGUGUGGAUGUAAGUCAUCUUCCCCUGGUGCAAGCUCAGCCUGCAAUGUUCCAAGGUAGGGAGGGCCUGGCAGGAGGCCCUUAGGUCACUGGGGCCACAUUGGGGCCACGUCCUCAGAAGUAGUGAGGGUGGCUCUCCUGAGAUCUCAAGGUUUCCCAAGAGCGAUUCCCACCCUUUUUCCUACUGCCACGUGGUCCUCACUGGAGUUGAGCUGGUGCUGACACCAGGCCCUGUAACUUUCUGAACUAUGACCUAAAUAAACCCCUUGUUUAUAAAGGUAAUGAAACAGGAUGGGAAAGCUAAUAAUGAAACCGUUAGGUGUCUGAUGAAGAUCUUGUGUAUGCUCUUAUUUACCUCCUGAUUCUAACUCCCCCACCCCAGACUUUCAUGAAUGAAGAAUCCCAUUUAAGGCAAACUGAGCAUGAAGGAAAGAUGGAUGGGCAGAGGUCAAAGGUCCCCAAUGUAAGUAAACUAUACAACUUGUCCAACCAAUACAAGGUUAUGGUUUUUGGGAAAUUCUGCCUAAUAGCCACAGAAGGUAAACACUUUCACACAAUGGAUCAGGACAACUUUGUAAUAAUGACCAAUGGUCCUUCAGACUCCACAACUGGACUAGCAUGGGACAGAUGGUAACCCAGGCUGAGAAUAAGGCAUCCUAGCAAAAGCAGCAGAUAGAAGACACGCCCUCCUGAGAGGAGGGACUUACCACAUAUGAUGUUCCCUUAAGUUACCCGCUUUUGUAGGCAAUCAGAAAGUGGCUUCUUAAACUUCAAUACUAAAGUCAGCCUUUCUUAGGUCCCUACGUGAGGGACCUUGUGUGCAGUACCAGAAGGGGCUGUGGUGGUGCAAGCUGGUCCAGCUGAUGACUAAGGACAAAACAAGAGCUCAGCUGAGACAAGCUAAAUCCACUGUGCAGAGCCCACUGCUGCUCCAGGUUGGAAGACUGAGUUUUAUAUGCUCCCCUAGGGUCAGGGCAAGCAGGAGGUAACCUGAGGGGCUGGACCUUUGUCCGUGCUCACAGUGAGGAGGCUUUAGAAAAACCAACUCUGGGUUUACUUGGUUUGUUAGAAAUGCAAACUAGUUUCUUGCAUUAGCAUAAAAUUCUCACACAGAGCUAAGGCAACCAGGUGGGGCUCACUCUAAGGUGCAUCUCCAGGUAAGUGGCUAAGCAGCAAGACCCUUAACAUAUGCUUAGUGACCAAUGCGCUAUCUGGGGGUAACGUGAUUCCCAGGCAUGUUUAUUUAUCUGGAUUCUGCCCGGUCAGAAAGAAACCCUAGGCGCCAGCAACCAUAUGGUGUGGAGGUGAAGGUCCGGAGAGGGGUAAAUACACCAUUUACCAUGAAAUGAACAGAAUGGGAGAAGUUCUUUUUCAAAGUGAAUUCUAUUUACUAUGCUAUUCUGUGCCGUCAUUAAGAUUUUUUUCCCUCUAAAAGUGCACAGUCAGUAAAGCAGUGUGUGCACCAGAAGUGUCCAUCUUAAGCAAAGAGUUUCCUACUUUUUAAAGAACUGUAAGCAGUUAGAGAUGGCAUGUUUGUGGGACAGUUGUCAGCUCCCCAUUCAGCAAAGCCAGACUACCUCACACUCCGUGGGAAACAGCAAAAAUCCCAGCACCUUUCUUCCCCUAUCAAAAUUCUCUUCGGUAUACUUAGCCCAGAGUCUACGAAGUGUCAGGUCCGCAAGAGCAAGAUGUAUAGCAGAACAGGCCGUAAGUCAGAGGUGCGUGAGUUCAGAGGGGACGAGAAUGGGGUCCUAGCGUACGUUUAGUCAUUAAUAGGAUGGAACACUGAGUGUAGACACGUGCUUUAAUAAAAACGUUCCGCUGAAACAAAUACAGAAGCAGGAACAGCUGCCAUUCUUUCCUGACACUGCUCCACUGACUUGGGGGGCACUGGUAAGAAAGAGACCAUGCUCGCAAGCUCUUAAUGUCUUACUGACCAUAAAGACCACCCAGCUGCUUUAGGAAAAACAAGCCACACAACGUUAGGGAAUUUCCCGGUGUCUUUAGCCACCACAAAGGGUUUAAUUCACUGUAACUGACAGUUGUCUUGACACUGUGCAACAGUUGGGUGAGUGUGGUUAGAUUUUCGGGUGGGAAAAUAAGAAGUGGGCCAGAUUUUUGCAUUUUGUUUGUGUGCGUGCAAGUCUGGCGGGCAGCCUCACUUCGUGAGCCUCUCCUGUGCUUCCGCUAUACUGGACUGCAGUGCAGGUCCUUGGCUCGCCUCUGGGAGCCGCAAGCACAGGUUCCAGACUAAAGAAGCAGGGAUUCCUGUGUGAUGUCAGCUUGCUCUCCAGCAGGGAUCCUUCAGGCAGCCUCCUUUGUCUUUUAGAAAGGAGAUACUAGGUAACCAAUGACAUGCCCAAAGUACCAGCGAUGUGACCUGAGCAAUAGUUAAGUUUGGCUGGAUGAUUUUACAGAAUUAGUAUGUAACAGCCAAUCUUUGGCAUGGUCAUUUUUCUAGAAUAAGAAGUAUUCUUUAUGAGUUUCCUUACUUUUAACUGUAUGCAUGUGAAUGUGUCCAAGGAGGCCAAAGAGCAGAGGUCUUGGGUCUCUCCUGGAGCUGGAGUCACAAGCAGUCACAAGUGAGCUGGCCAACAUGUGUUCUGGGGACUUAACUCCUCUGUAAGGGCUUUUAACUGCUGAGCCAUCUCUCCAGCCUCUUUAGCAGUAACGCUGUACCUUGAUGUGGAAAAGGCCAACUACAGAGUUCUGAUGAGUGGUGUGUGUGUGUGUGUGUUGUUCACAUGUGCACACAGGUCUAGCUGGUCAUGUCUGUUACCUUAUUCAUCUUCCUCCACCUUAUUUCUGGAGCCCCAGGCACCAGUUUAUUUACUGAGCCAUCUCCCUAGUCCUUGAUGCAUUGUUGCUCAUCUAUUUCACAUAAAGAUAGGAUAUAUACAUAAACUACACACACACACACACACACACACACACACACACACACAUACACGCACACAAACUACACUGAACCAAGUAUACAAGCGCUCUUAGGCUGAAUGUACCUUUAAUAAGAGUGAGCUCUGACAUCUUGUGUGAUUUCCCAGGGUAGGUUUUCCCUUUAUUCUAGAAAGACCUGUAAAGUUCAGAACAAUUUCAAGACCUUAGCUACGCUGAGUUUUAAGAUGGGGCACUAUUCAAAUGUAAUGGAUAUUGUUGGCAUUCCCUAUUACUGUGAGAAUAUACAAAAAAAUGUUACAGUCAGCCAUGCAUACAUGGAGUGUUUUUUUAUGAUCAGCUUUUAAUGCAUGACUUUUAUUAAUUAUUUUAAAAAGUAUUUAUUAACAGUCCAGAGAGAUAGCUCAGCGGUUAAGAGCACUUAUUGCCUGCUUACCCUUCCUUCCUUCUCUCCUUCCACAGGUCCCUAGUUUGAUUCCCGGCACCCGCAAGGUGGCUCGCGGCCAUCCGUCCUGCGUUCUGGCGCCCUCUUGUGGGGAAAAAGUAUUUAUUACAAGGGACCGUCCAAGCAAAUCUGACCUACUUCAAACCUGCCAGCACUCAGACUCAAGUUGCCCCAGCACACAGAAUGCUCACCUAAAGGAACUGAACGAACUACAUGGUAGGAGAAGAUACCAACUGGAGAGGACUGAGGCAUGAUGGUAAGUGAGACUCCCAUUGAAAAGUGUUUUCAGGAAAACACAGCCUUAGCUUCGAGAUCACAAAAGGUCAGGGUGAUUGCAAACACAAACGGAUUAUCUUCCUCUGGAGAAAUCCUAACAAAGUAGUUUGCACUGCUAGCCACCAAAUCCUGUGAUUAAAAUCAUCCACGAUGGCUACAUUCACUUUUUUUGUCUUGUUUCUAAUCGUGAUAGUUUUGCCCACUUGACACAGCCUACAGUUGCCUGGGAGAACGUACCAAUGUCUGUGGGCAUGUCUGGGGGGCGGCUGUAAAUGAACUGAUAUGGAAGACCCAGCACACUGUGGGUGGCACCGUUCCCUAGAGCAAGGGUUCUAAACUAUAGGAAAAGAGAGAAAUCAAACCACGCACAAACAAGCGGGCAUGAAUUCAACCAUUCUCUUCCCUGCUCUUGACUGUGGAUACGAUGCGAGCCCCUGCCGCCACCUUGGCUUUCCCACAGUGAUAGAAAGUAACCUGCAAUAUUGAGCUAAAAUAAACCCGUGGCUGCUUGCUUUCUCUAAGGGCGUUUCUAUCACAGCAAUAGAAAUGAAAGUAGAAUAUUAACUGUCUAUGGAUUAUCUUCCAUUUGCUCACCAAUUAGUCUUGUCAGGGACAUGUUAUUAUAUAGAUCCCAAAAUAAAAAUUUUUUGUUUUGUAGGAAAAAUGGGAUAUAAGCAAAAAUCAGAUACGAUUAUAGGAAAGGCAGGCAUAGCAAGGCCCCAAUGGGACAAGAUCACAAACAGCUCCAAUAUCCUCUUGGAAGGGGAAAGGAAAGAGCAGGGCACAGGCGUGGGUCCUUCAAUAGAGGACGCAGAAAUCCGGUGGCAUUUCUGGUACCUCAGAGUCUAUUCCUUAAAGUGUGGUCAUCCUCUUUGAGAUGUUGGAGGGCUGCCUGGGUGGGUGACGGGGAGAAGGGAGAAUGUGGGGGAGCCUGAAGAACAGCAGGAGAAAGAGUGGUGCUGAGAGUCCGGCCGAUUUUUCAUGGCGCCACAGAGACAGAGAAAAUGGUCUCAGCAUCCUUCCAGCAGGCACAGCCUACAGCGAAUGUAUAAGGAAGCCAAGCUGCCACUCAAGGAAGGACUGCAGCAUCAACAGACCCCAGAUUUUGUAAAGACAGGAAACAGAUUAACAAGUCAAUUCUUAGCAAGAACAGGCCUACCAGGAGUCUGGGUGUGACCUCGGCAUACAAGGCUCCAUGAGGUGUGGUGGUUUGGGUUACAGACAACACAAACAGAAUGAUGGUGGAGAAUGACUGAAGCUGAGUGUAUAUAAAAUAAAGACCACAGGAGCUGAGCUCCAGGCACUGAGGACAGCACAGUGCUGAGCUUGCAGGGGAUGUGCCCACACCCGGGAAGGCUCGUGAGGAUGGUAGCGAGGUGAGUUAAAAUAUGAUCGCAGGUCAAAGGAGUCCAUUCUACCAUGCUUGGCGAGUCAGCUCUGUACCUACAGCUGACACUCCAGCUCCUCCUGGCUGGCGUGCACGUAAAUCAUAUUUGCCAAUACAAACAGGUAAGCGUCACAGAGGAGCGAGGGGUUUGGGGGUCUGAAGAGUCACUGUGUGCUGAAGUUACAUACGUGCUGUAUACAAGAUGAUUGAUAAAACUUUAGGCA
Long non-coding RNA from Alexandromys fortis (reed vole), 7608 nucleotides. RefSeq lists it as uncharacterized. The record is from RefSeq and is a predicted model, not a curated record. NCBI's taxonomy places the organism in Eukaryota, Metazoa, Chordata, Mammalia, Rodentia, Cricetidae. The transcript has 4 exons.